RNAcentral lists this ribosomal RNA (355 nucleotides) under uncultured fungus. Its description in RNAcentral is "eukaryotic LSU rRNA". The stretch from base 1 to 123 matches the Rfam family "5.8S ribosomal RNA", at positions 33 to 154 of the family's 154-position model. The record is from RNAcentral. Lineage: Eukaryota; Fungi.
UCGAUGAAGAACGCAGCGAAAUGCGAUAAGUAAUGUGAAUUGCAGAUUUUCAGUGAAUCAUCGAAUCUUUGAACGCACCUUGCGCUCCUUGGUAUUCCGAGGAGCAUGCCUGUUUGAGUGUCAUUAAAUUCUCAACUCCAAGGGUUUCACGACCUUUCGGAGAUUGGACUUGGAGGUGCUGGCCGCAUAUUGGUCGGCUCCUCUCAAAUGCAUCAGCGGAAUCUAACGUUUCGGACGUCAGUGUGAUAAUCAUGUUGCGCUGUCUGUCUGAUCUGAAAGCCCGCUCACAAUGGUCUUCGGACAACUUCAUAUCAAAUUUGACCUCAAAUCAGGUAGGACUACCCGCUGAACUUAA